UGGGGAAUUUUGGACAAUGGGCGCAAGCCUGAUCCAGCAAUGCCGCGUGCAGGAUGAAGGCCUUCGGGUUGUAAACUGCUUUGUACGGAGCGAAAAGGUCUGCCCUAAUACGGUGGGCUCAUGACGGUACCGUAAGAAUAAGCACCGGCUAACUACGUGCCAGCAGCCGCGGUAAUACGUAGGGUGCGAGCGUUAAUCGGAAUUACUGGGCGUAAAGCGUGCGCAGGCGGUUAUAUAAGACAGAUGUGAAAUCCCCGGGCUCAACCUGGGAACUGCCUUUGUGACUGCAUAGCUAGAGUACGGUAGAGGGGGAUGGAAUUCCGCGUGUAGCAGUGAAAUGCGUAGAUAUGCGGAGGAACACCGAUGGCGAAGGCAAUCCCCUGGACCUGUACUGACGCUCAUGCACGAAAGCGUGGGGAGCAAACA
This 426-nucleotide ribosomal RNA is filed under the name uncultured bacterium. Its description in RNAcentral is "bacterial SSU rRNA". It matches the Rfam family "Bacterial small subunit ribosomal RNA", at positions 355 to 774 of the family's 1533-position model. The record is from RNAcentral.